CGCAACCCCUCGCCGUCUGUUGCCACCACGAAAGGUGGGGACGUCAGGCGGGACCGCCGGUGACAAACCGGAGGAAGGUGGGGACGACGUCAAGUCAUCAUGGCCCUUAUGUCCUGGGCCACACACGUGCUACAAUGGCCGGUACAGAGCGCAGCGAGGCCGCGAGGCGGAGCGAAUCGCUUAAAGCCGGUCCCAGUACGGAUUGGAGUCUGCAACCCGACUCCAUGAAGUUGGAAUCGCUAGUAAUCGCGCAUCAGCAUGGCGCGGUGAAUACGUUCCCGGGCCUU
RNAcentral lists this ribosomal RNA (287 nucleotides) under uncultured Spirochaeta sp. RNAcentral's name for it is "partial 16S ribosomal RNA". It matches the Rfam family "Bacterial small subunit ribosomal RNA", at positions 1097 to 1382 of the family's 1533-position model. The record is from RNAcentral. Lineage: Bacteria; Pseudomonadati; Spirochaetota; Spirochaetia; Spirochaetales; Spirochaetaceae.